UCCUCUUCUCUCCCGCCUGUCAUUUGCGUCUCUUUCCCUCUCUCUCUCUCACGCUCGAUCUCGUUCGGCUAGGUGGAGAGAUGUGGUCCCCGUCUCCAUCGAGGAAGCGCGAUCGCAAUGAAGACGAAGCUCGAUCGAAUCCUCUCUUCUCUUCGCCGGAAUUGAGCUUUGCCGCGGCGGAGCAGUCUCGAGCUCGUCCCGACGCUUCGCGCAGGUUUUAUUGGAACAGAGCUCUUGACUCCACACCAUUCGUCCACUGGAGAAGUUAAAUGUUCCUUACGAGGGCAUGAUGUUGGAUGAACUUGAAAAACCUCCAGUUGGUCUCCUGUAUCCUCUCUGUUGGAUCCCACUCUGUAUUGACUUUCUAUACCUGAGGGUGUCUUUGGCGUCAUUUUCUAUGGCUUUGAUUUCUUUAGGGCUCAGACGCUUGAGUAUUAUUUAUUUAUUAGUAAAGGUUGAACCUCGUGAUUGAUUACAUUUUGGGGAUUACCAUGGCACUUGAAUGACCAUGAAGACUAAUUUAAACAUGGGAGGACUAUUUAAUUAUAAAUCUUUGAUGAGUUCUAGCCUCUAGAAUUCCUCACAAGAUUGUUUAUCUUGGGGCAUGGCUUAAGCCAAAUAAAUCUAUUUGGGCUAUAAGAUGGAUAGGUUUGUUUUCUAUCUUGAUCCCUUUGGGCUAGUAGUAUCAAGGUAGGAUUAUAUUUUUGGCACUCCACCAGAAAAUGUUACCAAGUGGGAUCCUGCCAAGUUGGGUAUAGCUGAGAAAAUGUUGAGAAUGCUUUCUCGUGGAGGGUUACAUUAAUUAAAGAAUCUUAUUCUUUGCUAUAGCUUCCUGUGUGAAUAUUAAAUAGCUUCACAUCAAUGCUCAUGAGUCUAGUACUUGAACAAUGCAUUUGCAGCAAAAUCUCCCAUAUUUUGUGGCUGUCGACAAGGCUCUCUUCAACUGCUUUACUGGCAUGCUUAAAAUGCAGUAUAUGCUGAUCUUGGAUAGGGAGGACUACCUUACCGAGUUCGGAACGCAGUGCAUGAUGGACAAACCCAGUUGGAUUGUAUUCACUUCCUGGUAUGUUUUCAAGAAAUCACUCGAUCCUUACUACAUCAUAUGUUGAUGAAAGAUAUAAAAUUAAUCAUGGGGUCAAGUGAUAAACAAUGCCAUGAAAGACAUCAAAUUACCAAAUCUUGUGAUUGAAAUUGUAAAAUGAAGCUUCAACUUGUUCUUGUUUGUUAUGGUAAGUUGCAGCGUAUCAGCUUCAACAUUAUUUAGCAGAUUCUAUUGUAUUCUAAUUAUGACGUUACUAGGUGGCAAAUCUUAAUGGUAGGUGUGGCUUUUGGUUUCUAAAUACACAAUACCAAAAUAUCUCGGUGCCGCUCUAUAUUCUCUACUUUCGCUGUUUCUGGCAAAACUUGUUAUCGUUCUUAAGGGAAUUGAUAAAAUGGUUUAGCAAGUGCAAUCAAUUUAUAUUCAAGAUUCAUGUCACAGUAAUGAGGCUCUAUGGGCGAAAGAAGCCAUUAUAUGCAAAGGUCAAAGUGUCUAUGAAUUCUAUAGAAAUUUAGAUAGUCCUUUGAAUAUAAAAUUUUCAGCUUAUUUUCAAUUAAAUAAUUUCGCGAGCAUGAAUUCGCACAAUUCUGGUGUAGAUUGUUGAUUUCAUUUUGUUUCUGAGAUCGAAGUUUAAUAUUCAACCCAGAAACAUCCACUACACCUGUUAGAUUACAUCAACUUUAAAGUUAUCCAUCUGGAUUGCAGUUGGGUCAUUAGCUAUUUUAGUUGAGGCAUGUGCUUCAUCUCCAGUUGGAUAGUACGUUCAGAGUCUCUAGCAUCUUCCCAGUUGUCCCUGCAUAAAGAAAAACAUAUGUUAAAGUCUUAAUAUACAAGGUAACUUCUGUUCUCAUAAGGAAAGGGGAGGACUGUCCACUGUUGGAACAGAGAUUAAGCAGAAAUAUGUGAGUAUAAUUCUUUGUAUUCAUGAGCUUCUGAUCAUUAAAUUAUUCUGUGAACAUUAUUGUUGCCCCUGGCUUGGAAAAUCUUAGUGUAUUGCCUUUUGUUCCCCAAGAACAAUUUGUCUCUCUGGUGGCCUAAAAACCUUUAAUUAAUAGUUAAUGUGAGGCUAAGUUUUACUGGAAAGAGCGAUCUGAAGAUGUCAUUAAAGGUACUUUGCAUAUUUCAUGAUGUCGGCCAUAUUGUACGGAAGAAAUAAAAAUUUUGGACAGAAGAAUUUGAGAUUUUCUAGUGCCUUCCAUGAUAAAAUGGCAGGAAGAAUGCUACUGAUCUGACUAGGAUGAUUUCUUUUUUUAAAGAAACUUUGAAAUUCAUUCAUUCUGCAGGUUCUCUUUGUUUAGAGAAAAGCAGCAUCUGUAAUUUUCUCAUCAACUCUUCUAGUUCAUUAGACACUUGAGUCUGCCAUUCGCAGUUAACACUUGUAGUCAUGUUCUUCGCCUGGCAAAAAUGAUCAAAUUUUACGUCAUUAGGAGAGAACAUUUGAAUGCCCGUUGUGUUUAUUACCUUCAUGAAUUUUUUAUCUGUUUUAGCUCAUAUGGCUGUUUGCUGCUGCAACUUCGUCUGGGCAUUCUUGAUGUUUGUUGAAAACAGCAGAAGCUUUAAAAUUAUCUGUGGGCAUUGCUGCAUCAUGUGAUUGUCCAAAUGUAAAGCUGAAAGAAAUCUCAGUAUAUUGACAUUUUCCAUGUGGUUGAAUCGUCUAAAAGUUUUUUGUGCGAUGCGAUUCUUAAUUUCCUAGGAGAAUGAUAGAUCAAAUACAUGUGCCUAUGUUUCCACUCUGGUUUCACUAAGCAUUGCAUAAUGAUAUUUCAGAUUUUGAACUGAUUUUCUUUGUGACAGUUAAUGCGAUUCUCGUGGGCUUCUAUCAUUAUCAGAUGGAUGCUCAAGCUAAUCUAGUCGACCAUUUUGAACAUGUCUCUGGCUGAAUAAGUUUUGGCUCUUAUACAACAUCUCAGUCAAAGAAACAUUACUUUGUUUGCAUGGUCCCUCGAUGGAGACUCAAUAAUGUCCUUCUACAUUCGUUGCACCCGGUUUGCUAAUGCAGCUGCAAUCUGCUUCAACAUUGGUUAAGUAGAAUUUGGUCAAAAAUUUCAUAAGCAUGCCGACCUUCAAAGAUUGAAAUACAUGUUGAAAAAAGAUAUAUACCGUAAGUUUGUAGUUCUUGAUGAUGUCUCACAGUUCUGAUAAUGCGGCUGGCUUAGUUGGAGAUGGAUAGGUACUUGAGCAUCUUCAUCAAUGUUCGGUCCAUUUGGUAGAAGACUUGUGCGUGCUCCAUUUACGUUAUUUGCAUCUCUUGUGCCAUAAACCUGGGACAUGGAUUGUUUUUUGUUCAGACCAAGUACAGAAUCUGAGGUAAAUAACUUUGACAGAACUUUGUAGCGUUAAGAUUAAUACCUUCUUGUACAAUUCCACAUUCUCUUGUUUAAAUAGACUUUCUUUCUUGUGCAAUUCCAAAUUUUCCUGGUGAAGGAGGUUUCCCUGCAGGGAUUUGUGAUUGAAAUUUAGCAGCCUGAAUGAGGAAAAAUAGUAAAGUUAGCGGUCUGACUGAGUUAAAUACUUUACCUUUCUGUUCAGCUCUUGUAUUUCUUCCAUUAAAACUUGGUCCUGCAAAAGUAUGAAGUCUGCUUGUUAUGCAAGAUCCUUAGAAGCAAGUUGGAUUGAUCCUAUGAAUCAGCAUGUAAGAAGUGAACCUUUUUUGUGCGGACGCCACGGAGACUUAUCUCCAAUUGGUUCUCCAAAUUCCGCAAAUCUUUGAUGCCCAAGCCUGAGAGUUCUUCUCCCAUCAUUUGCCUGUCAGUGUCGUGCGGGAGUAUAGUUUAGCUAGCAAGUCUAUCAUCUGACUGUCACAGAUUCUUGUGGAGGGGAGUAAGAAAUGAAAUCAAAGACUCAUAGGUGCAAAUCUGUGACAUAGAGGUUUCUCAGGGUCUGCAAAACGAAGCUCUUGAUUUCACAACCCUUGAGUUCAAUCUGUCCUCACACUAAUGGCUUUUCUUUCUGAAACAUGGUUCGUAUAGCAACAGACUCAUUUUCUUCCCAUGAUGCAGAUGACAAACUGCUGCCCCGUCUGCAACUUUUAUAGUUCCGUUAUCGUAUGUCUUGCCUCUCUUUCCAUUUACCUUCUCCUUAUGAAUAUAGGAUGUUGAGCCCUGCCGUAAUUCAAAAAUCAUGGGGGGAGUUGUGUGCUUUAAGAAAUGUUCCAUGUUUUAAAUGCAGUCGUGAGGCCUUUAGCUGAACUGGAUCCUUCCAAAUAGAGAUGGAAUUCCAGGAUCUGAAGACCUACCUUGGGAUAGCAAAGUAGAUUAGGUCAUGGUGUUUUUAGGGAAAAAAAAAAAAACUUUCGGACCCCUUUUAGUGGUAUGAAUGGGUUUCCUGUUACCGAGUUCUAUGUUAACGAGAUUUUAUCCUUUAAAAAUGGCGUCCAUGUGUUUAUUAGUGCUAAAAGUUGCACGGUCAGCAUUUUGCUCAUUUGGAACUCUAAUUCUUUUUUAAAUGCCCAGAGAGCGGUAGGGUCGGAAUACGGAACCAGCGAGUUGUUGUUUCCAAUUAUUCUUUCUUGUUUCUGGAUGUGGAGAUGCACAAGGGGUUGAAAAUCUAAUACGUCCUUUUCUUUAGCAAGUUCAAUUAGGAAGUAGUUGCAUAGGAAGCAUGAGGGACCCCGGGUGCUUAGCUUUUCUGUUUUCGUGUCAAUACAGAGAGUAAUAUCUCUAAUUCAAUGUGGGAAAGGCCUGCUACAGAUCAAAACCGUUGCAAAGGGGUUUCCAAUCAACGAUAAUUUAGCUUUGAAAAAUUGUGUUCUAUGUUUAUCAUGCCAGAGACAUCAAUAUGUUUUCCUUCUGUAUGAUUCUUUUGUCCAGAUAUUAAUGUUUUCACCUUAUUUUGUACCUUUAAUGGGUGCACCAUGUGUUAGCGUGAUGCUUUUUAGGCGUGACUGGUAAAGUUUAGCAGAAAAGUCAUCGUCAUCUCCGGGCACACCAUGGAAGCAUUGCUAUAAGAAAAUGUAAAGAAAAUGCUCGAGAAGAGAAGACGUACCGAUGAUUUUCUCGGAGUUGCUGCAGUUGUUGCCUCAAUAUUGCUGCUUCCCUUUGCCAAUACUGCCGAAUAAACAAGUACGACUAGUGAUAUGCCGGGAUUUGGGCGGUUGAAAUGUCUGACAAUGUCGAUGUACUAGAAGGGAGUAGUGUAUAUGUGAAACGCAUGGUCAUGACAAUCAAAAAGUCUCUCCAGGUAACUAUAGAAUGAUUUUCCUAAGUCUGUUGCUUUUUCUAAACUUUGGUGAGUUCAUGUAUGAAAUGACAAUGCAAUAAUGUCAACUCAACAGGACUUAAAGCGAAGAACUUAAGUAUGUAUCUAUCCAUCGAAAAUGAUUGAAAGAUCGAUAAUUUGCUUCCACAUAUGCAAACAAGAUAGCACUUGCACGAAUCACUAAUUGUCAUUCCUCUCUCGCUCCCUGGCACCCAAAGCUCGUAAAUAUUCAAGAUAUUGAGUUUGCGUCAUCUAAGACCACCAUGCCAUGUUUUGGGGCGAGAAAUUACUUUGACAGCGGUUUUUGUAACAAUCCUCAGCCUGGGGCAAACUUAGUUUUUCUUUUCUUUUUUGGGUCUUUCUACGAAUUUCCCCAGCUUUCUACUAAGUUGAAAUGUGGGGGCGAACCCAGUUUUUUCUUUUCCUUGAUUUGUCAUAUUAAUCAAUUUAUUAUGAUCGUAUUUUGCCUAU
Syzygium oleosum is the source of this 5707-nucleotide long non-coding RNA. RefSeq lists it as uncharacterized. NCBI's taxonomy places the organism in Eukaryota, Viridiplantae, Streptophyta, Magnoliopsida, Myrtales, Myrtaceae. The transcript has 2 exons. The record is from RefSeq and is a predicted model, not a curated record.